This is a long non-coding RNA of Macaca fascicularis (crab-eating macaque), 1997 nucleotides long. NCBI's taxonomy places the organism in Eukaryota, Metazoa, Chordata, Mammalia, Primates, Cercopithecidae. The record is from Ensembl.
UUUUUUUUUUUUUUUUUUGAGACUGAGUCUCACUCUGUUGCCCAGGCUAGAGUGCAGUGUUGGUUGUCUUUCUGGACUGGGUUGUGUCAUUGGUUGAUUUUCAGAAGCUUGAUAGUGUGAUUCGUCUGCUACCUUUCAAAAGUGUGAUACCUGAGUGAGGCUGUCACAGAUAGGCUGAUUUUUCAGAGCAUGUGUAUUGAUCCAUAGUUAUCUCAAAUUAAUUGGAGUUAGUUGUUUAGGACUUUGUCAAAAGAACAGUCUUUUCUAUUCUUGAAUUUGAAAAAAUAAGAACUUUAAAUUCUAAGUGCCACCUAUUGGUCUUCCUUUAGCCAAACCUGCAGAGACACCAUAGACCAGUGAUCCCCAACCUUUUUGGCACCAGGGGCCAGUUUCAUGGAAGACAAUGUUUUCACAGACGGGGAUGCAGGGUGAAGGGGUGGAGGUGGGAAUUUUAAUUAGAUUCUCACAAGGGAUAUGCAACCUAGAUCCCUCACAUGCACAGUUCACAAUAGCGCUUGUGCUCCUAAGAUAGUCUAAUGCUACCCUGAUCUGAUAGGAGACGGAGCGUAGGUGGUAAUGCUUGCUUGCCAGCACUCACCUCCUGCCGUGCUGCCAGGUUCCUAACAGGCCAUGGACCAGUACCAUUCUGCAGCCUGGGAUUUUGGGACCCCUGUCAUAGAUAUUGUUUAGGUCUCUAUUCGUGGAGGUAUGAUUUUUCAGUUAAUGUUGCCAUUUAAAUGAGUUAAGAGCCAGUUCCUGUGAUGGAAAAAUAGCCCUAACUGCUAAAUUGUAUUAGUUCAUUGAAAAAAAAAAAAAAAAGCUGAGCACGGAUCAUUUAGGGUAUUGUGACAAAGUCAAAAGGUGAUGCAGGACAAAAAUCAUUAUAUGCAGGACAUGUCCUGUAUGUAUAGAAUCUUGGAAACUUUAUUAGUGAUGUCUCUCACACUACUAAUACAUCUGAAAAGCACCUACUCAGAGCUUGUAGGUGUUUCUUGGAUGUAUAUUUUAACAGUGAAUUAUCAAGACAGCACAACUUCACAACUGCUCAGCAUUUUCAGGAAAAAAGAGUCACAUUCUGUGGACAAAGUGUGGUCAAGAUCCCAAUACAACCACGUGCUUAACUUCAUUCUUUCACUUUUCAUACUUUAGUAUUCAGGCUCAAACUUUACUGAGAUCUUAACUUUGUCCAUCUAUCACAGAUAAUUCCUCGGAGUAAUGUCUUUCAUUAUCUUCAAAUAACUACAGAAUCAUUAUUAAUAGCUUUCAGGAUUUUUCCCCCCCGGGAUAAUCUCACCUCCUAAUACAGACACCGUACCUACAAUGACAGAUUAAAUGGUAAUGGCACUGUGUUUUGCAGUGGUGGAUACACUCACUGAUUACCUAGGCAGGAAGAGUUUUCUGAGGAAAUCUGUCCACUGGUUUCAGGGAGACUCCACAUCAUCCCUCUUCCUUCUUCCACUGCAAGGCCUUGUUUGGAGUAUUUUCUCUUCCCUCUCUGACCAAACUGAAGCUCACAAAAGUUCCCGUAAAGCUUGAGUGCACCCGUACUUGCAAAGCAACAAGAUAAUAGUUAUUAGCUCCUAGCUAUGAGUGUAGGCAAAGAGACAUUGUGUUGUGGUUUGUCUAUUUAGUUUUGCAGCUUUGGGGAACAUCUGAAAUGUCUCCACAUUUCUGCGACCAGUGCAGACUACCCUCCGGGGAGUCUAGGUCCAGGCCUUUUCAGAGGACGGAAGUCGGGCUGGACGCCGUGGCUCACUCCCGUAAUCCCAGCACUUUAGGAGGCCGAAGCAGGCGGAUCCCAAGGUCAGGAGUACAGCCUGGCCAAUGUGGUGAAAUUCCGUCUCUACUAAAAGUACUAAAAUUAGCCGGGCGUGGUGGCGGGCCCCUGUAGUCCCAACUACUCAGGAGGGUGAGGCAGGAAAAUCGCUUGAACCCGGGAGGCGGAGGUUGCAGUGAGCCGAGAACGCGCCACUGCACUGCAGCCUGGGAGACACAGC